AUGGUCGCUAUAUGCUCGGGAAUCCGCGCCGCCUACGCCUCCUCCUGCCCCGUCGCCUCCGCCGCGAAUCUAUUCCUCUGGGCCUCCUCCUCUGCUCGCGCUCCGACUUUUCUGCGGCGCAGCAACAGCAGGGUAUCUCGGCGUCCAAAAGCCAUGGCCUCUGCCCAUCCCUCGCAAGGAUUGCCUUCAGGGAUGGAUCCUUCUAUGGUGGAUGAGUACGCUUCCCAGUCCAAGCUGUUGCAAGAAUUCGUCAAGAUACCCAGCAUUGGCAAGGCUUGGGUCUUCACUUCCAAAGAUGAAAACGCAUCCAGGGCAAUGGUUUCUGUUAGCCAGUCGGAUCUUUUGGCCAACAAAAAGAGGAGUUUCCUUCUAAAUACUCACAUUUCAAAAAGUUCCUCAAAGUCAGUAAGUUUCCAGUGGUCUCCCUUCCCGGUUGAAAUGAGUGGAGUGUCAGCAGUCGUUCCAUCACCGUCCGGCAAAAAGCUUCUGCUAGUACGGAAUGCUGAGGAUGAUGACUCCCCUACAAAAUUAGAGAUUUGGGGGCCCUGUCAGUUGGAGAACGAAAUACAUGUUGCACGAUCUGUUCAUGGGUCGCUGUACGCUGAUGGAUGGUUUGAAGGGAUUUCAUGGAACCAGGAAGAGACUCUUAUAGCUUAUGUUGCUGAGGAGCCUCCUCAACCAAAGCCAGAGUUCAAUGAUUCAGGUUACAAGAAGGAAGGUUCGUCUCAAAAGGACUUCAGGAGCUGGAAGGGACAAGGGGAUAUAGAAGAUAGCUGGGGAGAAACCUAUAGUAACAAAAGGAUACCUGCUUUGUUCGUCGCUAACAUCUCUAGUGGUGAAGUACGAGCAUUGAAGGGUAUACCUAGAUCGUUAAGUGCUGGCCAGGUGAUUUGGGCUCCAUCGUCUUCAUAUAGUUUGGUUUUUGUGGCAUGGUCAGAUGAUAAUGGUUUCCAAGAGACACCAAGGAAACUUGGUAUCAAAUACUGCUAUAACAGACCUUGUGCUCUGUAUGCUGCUGCUGAUCCUUUCAAGGAAGAAGCUGACAAACCAUCUACUGACUCCAAUAAGGGUGAUACUGCAGCUCUGGUCAAGUUAACAGCAGACUUGAGCAGUGCCUUUUUCCCACGGUUCAGCCCGGAUGGGAAGUAUCUUGUGUUCAUCUCAGCAAAGAGUGCUGUGGAUAGUGGAGCACACAAUGCCACAAAUUCAAUGCAUAAAAUUGACUGGCCUACCGACGGCAAACUAGAGGGGAGCCUCAGUGUUUCUGAUGUGGUACCCACUGUAAUGAGCCCUCAAGAUGGGUGUUUCCCUGGGAUGUACUGCUCUGGCUUACUUCGGUUUCCAUGGCUUUCUGAUGGACGGACUAUGAUUUUAUCUUCUGCUUGGGGAAGCAAGGAAGUAAUACUUUCUAUCAACGUUGCGAGCGGCGAAGUCUCAAGAGUUAGUCCGCAGGAUUCAGAUUAUUCCUGGAACGUUCUCGCACUUGACAAUAAUAACAUUCUUGCAGUUUCCAGCAGCCUUGUAACGCUGCCUCAAAUGUACUAUGGAUUUGAAGAUUCUCACACAGACAAGCCCUGCCAGUGGGACUGGCAGGAAAUUUCGUCUCCAUUUCCGAAGCCAUCUGAUAAGGUCAGCUCCUUGUUAGCCGAUCAUAAGUUCAGUGUAAUCAAAAUCCCAGUCAGCAAUCCUUCUGACAAACUUCCAGAUGGUGCUAAGCUCCCCUUUGAGGCUAUUUUUGUGUCUGGCAAGGAUUCAGCAAGUAGUCCAACGAUUGUUGUUCUUCAUGGUGGCCCUCACAGUGUCUACCCAUCAAGCUAUUCGAGAUCCUUGGCUUUUCUGUAUGCACAGGGAUAUAACCUGCUUGUUGUAAAUUACAGGGGCUCGUUGGGGUUUGGAGAAGAAGCAUUGCAAUCUCUUCCUGGCAAUAUUGGUUCUCAGGAUGUGAAUGAUGUAUUGACAGCUUUGGACUUUGUCAAAAAGAGAGGACUAAUAGAUGCAUCUAGAGUAGCUGUAGUUGGAGGUUCACAUGGAGGUUUCUUGACAACACAUUUGAUCGGCCAGGCUCCAGAAACAUUUGUUGCAGCAGCUGCUCGAAAUCCAGUAUGUAACUUACAAUUGAUGGUCGGUACCACUGAUAUCCCUGAUUGGUGCUUUCUGGAGGUUUAUGGAAAAGAAGGGAAAAACUGCUUUACGGAAUCUCCUUUGGCGGACACUCUUACUCAGUUUUACCAGAAAUCACCAAUAUCACAUAUUUCCAAGGUUAAGACACCAACACUCUUUCUUCUCGGAGCAAAAGAUCUCCGUGUUCCUGUUUCUAAUGGCCUACAGUAUGCAAGGGCUUUGAAGGAGAGGGGGGUUGACACCAAAAUUAUUGUCUUCCCAGAAGAUAUUCAUGGACUUGACAAGCCACAGUCCGACUUUGAGAGCUUCCUCAACAUAGGAGUUUGGUUCAAGAAGUACAUGAGCAAAUAA
Molecule: ribosomal RNA, 2472 nt
Filed under: Triticum aestivum (bread wheat)
Lineage: Eukaryota; Viridiplantae; Streptophyta; Magnoliopsida; Poales; Poaceae
Description: partial small subunit ribosomal RNA
Source: RNAcentral